Molecule: ribosomal RNA, 816 nt
Filed under: uncultured bacterium
Lineage: Bacteria
Description: bacterial SSU rRNA
Rfam family: Bacterial small subunit ribosomal RNA
Source: RNAcentral
AGAGUUUGAUCCUGGCUCAGAAUGAACGCUGGCGGCGUGCUUAACACAUGCAAGUCGUACGAGAAAUCCUCUGCUUGCAGGGGAGAGUAAAGUGGCGCACGGGUGAGUAUCGCGUGGGUAAUCUACCCUUGGAUUCAGGAUAACAUUUCGAAAGGGGUGCUAAUACUGGAUAAUAUCCUGAUGGUUUUGGCCAUAAGGAUCAAAGAUAGCCUCUACAUGUAAGCUAUUGUACAGGGAUGAGCCCGCGUACCAUUAGCUAGUUGGUGGGGUAAGAGCCUACCAAGGCGACGAUGGUUAGCUGGUCUGAGAGGAUGAUCAGCCACACUGGAACUGAAACACGGUCCAGACUCCUACGGGAGGCAGCAGUGAGGAAUUUUGCGCAAUGGGGGAAACCCUGACGCAGCAACGCCGCGUGAGUGAAGAAGGCUUUCGGGUCGUAAAGCUCUGUCAAGAGGGAAGAAAGUGGGAGAUGGUAAUACUGUUUUCUAUUGACGGUACCCUCAAAGGAAGCACCGGCUAACUCCGUGCCAGCAGCCGCGGUAAUACGGAGGGUGCAAGCGUUGUUCGGAAUUAUUGGGCGUAAAGCGCGUGUAGGCGGUCUGAUUAGUCUGAUGUGAAAGCCCUGGGCUCAACCCAGGAAGUGCAUUGGAUACUGUCAGACUUGAAUACGGGAGAGGGUAGUGGAAUUCCUAGUGUAGGAGUGAAAUCCGUAGAUAUUAGGAGGAACACCGGUGGCGAAGGCGGCUACCCGGACCGAUAUUGACGCUGAGACGCGAAAGCGUGGGUAGCAAACAGGAUUAGAUACCCUGGUAGUCC